Molecule: transfer RNA, 73 nt
Filed under: Sharpea azabuensis
Lineage: Bacteria; Bacillati; Bacillota; Erysipelotrichia; Erysipelotrichales; Coprobacillaceae
Rfam family: tRNA
About the family: Transfer RNA (tRNA) molecules are approximately 80 nucleotides in length. Their secondary structure includes four short double-helical elements and three loops (D, anti-codon, and T loops). Further hydrogen bonds mediate the characteristic L-shaped molecular structure. tRNAs have two regions of fundamental functional importance: the anti-codon, which is responsible for specific mRNA codon recognition, and the 3' end, to which the tRNAs corresponding amino acid is attached (by aminoacyl-tRNA synthetases). tRNAs cope with the degeneracy of the genetic code in two manners: having more than one tRNA (with a specific anti-codon) for a particular amino acid; and 'wobble' base-pairing, i.e. permitting non-standard base-pairing at the 3rd anti-codon position.
Source: Rfam by way of RNAcentral
GCGGAUAUGGUGAAGUGGUUAACACACCGGAUUGUGGCUCCGGCAUGCGUCGGUUCGAACCCGAUUAUCCGCC